GUAGAUAUAUGGAGGAACACCAGUGGCGAAGGCGGCUCUCUGGUCUGUAACUGACGCUGAGGCUCGAAAGCGUGGGGAGCGAACAGGAUUAGAUACCCUGGUAGUCCACGCCGUAAACGAUGAGUGCUAAGUGUUGGAGGGUUUCCGCCCUUCAGUGCUGCAGCAAACGCAUUAAGCACUCCGCCUGGGGAGUACGACCGCAAGGUUGAAACUCAAAGGAAUUGACGGGGGCCCGCACAAGCGGUGGAGCAUGUGGUUUAAUUCGAAGCAACGCGAAGAACCUUACCAGGUCUUGACAUCCUUUGACCACUCUAGAGAUAGAGCUUCCCCUUCGGGGGCAAAGUGACAGGUGGUGCAUGGUUGUCGUCAGCUCGUGUCGUGAGAUGUUGGGUUAAGUCCCGCAACGAGCGCAACCCUUAUUGUUAGUUGCCAUCAUUUAGUUGGGCACUCUAGCGAGACUGCCGGUGACAAACCGGAGGAAGGUGGGGAUGACGUCAAAUCAUCAUGCCCCUUAUGACCUGGGCUACACACGUGCUACAAUGGGAAGUACAACGAGUUGCGAAGUCGCGAGGCUAAGCUAAUCUCUUAAAGCUUCUCUCAGUUCGGAUUGUAGGCUGCAACUCGCCAACAUGAAGCCGGAAUCGCUAGUAAUCGCGGAUCAGCACGCCGCGGUGAAUACGUUCCCGGGCCUUGUACACAC
RNAcentral lists this ribosomal RNA (700 nucleotides) under uncultured bacterium. RNAcentral's name for it is "bacterial SSU rRNA". It matches the Rfam family "Bacterial small subunit ribosomal RNA", at positions 690 to 1390 of the family's 1533-position model. The record is from RNAcentral.